GUGGUUCCCAGCCCGGCAGCUCGAUGCCACCCUGGAGGGAAGGAGGGCCUCAACGCCUGUAAGUCCAGUGUGGACCCCACAUGCUCCCUCACCCAUCACAUCCAAACACAGGACGCAGUUACAGCAUACGUUUGGUAGACACAUAGAUCCAUAUCUAUAUAUAGAUGUCUGUGUGUAUAGAGAUGGAUAGGUACAUAGAUAGAUAGAUAAAUCUAUGCGUUCAUAUACAUUUGUGUACAUAAAUACACAAAUGUAUUUUUUUUUUUCUCUUCUUUGUUGUGGAGCACCUGGGGGAGCACACACACCCCCAGGUCUUUAUUGCAGUGGCUGGCUGAAGACUGGCCCCAUCGGGGUCAUUGCCAUCACCAUAAACAACAGCUUCGACACAGCACACAGCGUCGUGGAGGACGUCACCUCACCUCUGGCUGCCUGGACGUGACCUCUGCCAAGCCUGGAUCCACGGGGAUCCCCCUGCUGGACAAGAGAGGCGUGAAGCCGGUGUCCUUCUCGGACUGGGAGAAGAUCAACCAGGAGGGGAGGAGGGGCGCGGCCCAGGGGAAACCCCGAGAGAAGCUUCUGGACGUAGAGGAGAUGCUGAAGACCGCCCGGACCUGAACCCCAAAGUUACCUUCUAUUUCUGAAGACUCUUUCAUAACGUGGAGAACCAUCGCAAUGGCGAAAUUAACACAGUUUACCACAAGAAUAAGAUGGCAUGAAACCAUGGACUGUGUUGUAAUGCAGACCAAAAUAAGACGCAGUCAAUACAAAAAAAACAAUUUAUUAUAUUAACAUGUCGUCCAGCGGUAGCUCCAGAUGUGUGCGUCUGUGGGGCUCAGUAGAUGCCGUAGGUGUGCUCCUUGCCCUCACGGUAGCGGUCCAGGUAGCGGAGCGGCUGCCUGUGGGGGAACUUGACCUGCGGCGGGUGGUACACGGGGGGCCGCACGAACUCAAACACCGGCUCCUUCAUGUCUGCAGGAAGAAGAACACCAGUGGACAGUUUAAUGUUAAUGGAUAUAUCCUCCCAACCUCCCAAUUGUACAUUUUUUAAAUAAUAAAAUUCAAUUUUAAUUUAAUGUUUUUUCAUGUUUAACAGGAUUUAUUCACAUGAAGGUAU
Molecule: long non-coding RNA, 1114 nt
Organism: Gadus morhua (Atlantic cod)
Lineage: Eukaryota; Metazoa; Chordata; Actinopteri; Gadiformes; Gadidae
Exons: 2
Source: RefSeq, a predicted model, not a curated record